CAAGCUAGAGCUUGUUUAUAAAGCGUUUUAUUUACAUUAAAGAGUUAUCUGUGAAAUUCAGUUUAGCUUGA
Molecule: transfer RNA, 71 nt
Filed under: Howea angulata
Lineage: Eukaryota; Metazoa; Arthropoda; Insecta; Coleoptera; Cerambycidae
Description: tRNA-Val
Source: RNAcentral